GGUCUGGCCUGCUCACUGAAUUAAUUAAAUAGCCGCGGUAUUUUGACCGUGCGAAGGUAGCAUAAUCAUUAGUCUCUUAAUUAGGGGCUGGAAUGAAUGGCUUGACAAGAAAUCAACUGUCUCUUAAUAAUUUUUAUAAUUUAACUUUUAAGUUAAAAGGCUUAAAUUUUUCUUUAGGACGAGAAGACCCUAUAGAGCUUAACAUUUUAAUUAUAUAUAUUCUUUUGUUUAUCUUUUUAUAUUUAAUGAUAAUGUUUUGUUGGGGUGACAUGAAGAAUUAAUAAACUCUUCAUUAUUUAAUUCAUUAAUUUAUGUUGUAAUUGAUCCAUAUUUUAUG
Molecule: ribosomal RNA, 337 nt
Filed under: Amblytropidia mysteca
Lineage: Eukaryota; Metazoa; Arthropoda; Insecta; Orthoptera; Acrididae
Description: partial 16S ribosomal RNA
Rfam family: Archaeal large subunit ribosomal RNA (bases 1-165)
Source: RNAcentral